UAAGUUCUGCAUCAUUUGGAGACUUCAUUCAAAUUUUUAUUUCCAUUCCAUAUAUGGAAAGCCUUUUAACUUUACUCUUUCACACUGCGUAUUUUAUGCACCUGCUUGCUGAACAGUUUAAUAACGUAAAUACGUGAAAUGCAGAAUAUGUGAGAGAGAAUGCACAGAGGUCUUGGGUGUGGGGUCUAGGCGCAGAGGUUGCGGGUUCUGCGAACCCUCUUGUCCUGAGAGUGAGUGCACCGGGAUGGAGGUGGUCAGAUUUCACUGACGGACGGCAUUGAGAGGCGUGUCCGGUGCUCUCACCAAAGUGUUCGGGAAAGGAAAUACCGUAGUUCACAAAUAACCUUUCAGUCGUCCAGAUACCCUGGGAAACAUACCGUUGUCGGUAGGUUAACAUGGGAAAUGCUGUCACUUCGGGUAGGGCUGUGUUGGGGUUUCUCCGCAGAUGAUGUAUGUUAUAUGUAAUGAUCUGCAGUAUCGUGACUCUUUGCAACUCUGUCUUAAUUAAUGUCUUAGAUCUUGUCUUUAAAAUAAAGACAAUAUUUCAUCUCCAUCCGUUAAUGACCCGCCUUUGCCCUCUUACUGUUCUUGUUAGCAGUAUUUGAGAAUAACUAUCACUUUCUUCCAUGGAGGUUUGUUUUUAAGCAUCUCUUCGAAGUGAUAGGGUGGCGGUGGGGGUGCUGCUGCUGCUGGUUGGCGCUCUGACCCGAGGAGCACAGGUGUUUCGUACGUAAGUGUGUCACCUGCAGCCAUUCUUCAGCAGUGUGUUUAUUUUGACAUUUGUCCUCUCUGAUGCAGUUUCUGAUAAGCUCAGAAGCUUGGAUUGUAACUCCCUUAGCUCUUAUUUUUGAUAAAGUGACUUAACAUGGCUUAUGUGAAUCCAAGACAUUAAAAAACAACAACAAAACUUACUGGUUGUUUAGUAUUUAGUAAAAGGUGAAAGAUUUAUAUGAUCUGAAGAGAAACCAGAGUAUGGUUGUCUAGGAUUUAGUAACUGGUUAAUGUGGUUCUGUAACGUGAAUUUGAAUGUUUAGUUGGUAGAAUUCAAAACUCUAUAAUAUUUAGUGUUCUUCACUUAGCAAGUGCCUCAGUUUGCUAGCUGCUCUCCACAGCAAACAAACAACACCCCACCCCCGUCUCCAAUCCAAAGCUGUUGACUUCAAAGAGCUUACAUUCUAAAUGUCUCUUAGACUAAUCUACUUAAGGAGAACAUUAGAAGUACUGUUUCAUAACCUUCUGACUCUCCCUCCAAAGAAGUGCGUCUGAGAGUGAUCCAGUCUGCAUGUCCCUUUACCCAUUUCAGCCCCAGCACAGUGCUCCCUUGCUGGAGGGGCCGCAGGUUGCAUAGCUUGUGCAUGAGCAAGGCCUCGCCCCGGGAGGGGCGUCUCUGAGCCCUGCUAAUGCGACCCAAGCCUUUGUGGCUUUACUCCGCCAACUUUGUGCAUACGGGAUCCUUUGACUCUUACUGCUCUUUGCAGUGUUCUACUUUGUCGCUGCCUUUCUGUUAGU
This is a long non-coding RNA of Phyllostomus discolor (pale spear-nosed bat), 1509 nucleotides long. RefSeq lists it as uncharacterized. The transcript has 2 exons. NCBI's taxonomy places the organism in Eukaryota, Metazoa, Chordata, Mammalia, Chiroptera, Phyllostomidae. The record is from RefSeq and is a predicted model, not a curated record.